RNAcentral lists this small RNA (783 nucleotides) under Pan troglodytes (chimpanzee). Its description in RNAcentral is "sense overlapping". The record is from RNAcentral. Lineage: Eukaryota; Metazoa; Chordata; Mammalia; Primates; Hominidae.
GUGUUUAUGCCAUCAGUUAGUCUGUAUUGAUCCAGGGCGUAUUUUGUGCAGGUGGGGACCCUGGGAAGUUAGCAGUAAUGGAGAAAAGCGUGGAAUGCUCUCCAGGUAUUAACACCACUGCCACCGCCACCCCGGCCAUAGAACACUGCACAGGGAGAAGGCAACAGAGCAAAACAAGCAUAUUGCAUUUCUCCAGCUGCUCCGGAAGUCCUUGGGACAGGAACCAUGUAAUCCCAUAGUGGCAGCAGUAACAACAAUGGCAACAGCAGCCUGGAGAGCACCGAAAUACUUAAAGCUCUGAGGGAAGCGAGUCUUCCCUCCACUAGAGAAGCUGUGGUCCCAAGAGGGUGGGACAAAAUACCAUUCCCUUUUCUCUCUCUCUGUUCAUACACUGCCUGGUAGGACAGACUCAAGUAUAGCCAUGAGAUGUAUGCAGCAAGGUAGGAAAACUAAAGACCUAGCUUUCUAACCAGAGGACAAAAAAAAUGGGGCUUCAGUGGGCCAAAAAUGCCAGAAUAAUCUCAGAAAGGAGACUGCUCAAGAGAGCAGUUCCAUAUUAACUCCGAGGCUUACUUCUAAGCUGCACAUGGUGUGAGAACUGAACUGUGCAUGAGACUAUGAUCCAGGCCACCAAAUGGCCACUGGGCAACAUACACACAACAGAUUCCCAUAGCACUGCAAAGGCUUUGAAAACUGAACUGAUAUUAGAACCACAGUCCACAGGAGAACUCGAGUCUGGAGCCUAAUUAGAUUGAUUGCCUGCAAAAACAAAACAAAACAAAA